RNAcentral lists this ribosomal RNA (643 nucleotides) under uncultured bacterium. Its description in RNAcentral is "bacterial SSU rRNA". It matches the Rfam family "Bacterial small subunit ribosomal RNA", at positions 232 to 885 of the family's 1533-position model. The record is from RNAcentral.
CGCGGCCUAUCAGCUUGUUGGUGGGGUAAUGGCCUACCAAGGCGACGACGGGUAGCCGGCCUGAGAGGGCGACCGGCCACACUGGGACUGAGACACGGCCCAGACUCCUACGGGAGGCAGCAGUGGGGAAUAUUGCACAAUGGGCGAAAGCCUGAUGCAGCGACGCCGCGUGAGGGAUGACGGCCCUCGGGUUGUAAACCUCUUUCAGCAGGGAAGAAGCUUUUGUGACGGUACCUGCAGAAGAAGCACCGGCUAACUACGUGCCAGCAGCCGCGGUAAUACGUAGGGUGCGAGCGUUGUCCGGAAUUAUUGGGCGUAAAGAGCUUGUAGGCGGUUUGUCGCGUCUGCUGUGAAAAUUCAGGGCUUAACCCUGGACGUGCAGUGGGUACGGGCAGACUAGAGUAUGGUAGGGGAGACUGGAAUUCCUGGUGUAGCGGUGGAAUGCGCAGAUAUCAGGAGGAACACCGAUGGCGAAGGCAGGUCUCUGGGCCAUUACUGACGCUGAGAAGCGAAAGCAUGGGGAGCGAACAGGAUUAGAUACCCUGGUAGUCCAUGCCGUAAACGUUGGGCGCUAGGCGUGGGUCUCAUUCCACGAGAUCCGUGUCGCAGCUAACGCAUUAAGCGCCCCGCCUGGGGAGUACGG